GAAUAUUGGACAAUGGGGGGCACCCUGAUCCAGCCAUGCCGCGUGUGUGAAGAACGCCUUUUGUUUGUAAAUCACUUUACGCGAGGAGGAGGCUACUUCGAUUUAUACUCUAGGAUAGUGCACGUUACUCGCAGAAUAAGCACCGUCUCACUCUGUGCCAGCCGCCGCGGUAAUACAGAGGGUGCAAGCGUUAAUCGGAUUUACUGGGCGUAAAGCGCGCGUAGGUGGCCAAUUAAGUCAAAUGUGAAAGCCCCGAGCUUAACUUGGGAAUUGCAUUCGAUACUGGUUGGCUAGAGUAUGGGAGAGGAUGGUAGAAUUCCAGGUGUAGCGGUGAAAUGCGUAGAGAUCUGGAGGAAUACCGAUGGCGAAGGCAGCCAUCUGGCCUAAUACUGACACUGAGGUGCGAAAGCAUGGGGAGCAAACA
This 424-nucleotide ribosomal RNA is filed under the name uncultured bacterium. Its description in RNAcentral is "partial 16S ribosomal RNA". It matches the Rfam family "Bacterial small subunit ribosomal RNA", at positions 359 to 774 of the family's 1533-position model. The record is from RNAcentral.